UACAUUUUAUUAAUAUAUUUUAACGUAUAAGUAAUUAUAUUAAAAUAGAAUUUACGAAUUUUGAAAUAAAUAUUUAAGUAACGAAUAUUUAUUUUUUAUACGUUUUAAAUAUUUCAACGAUUUAUGAAAUUAAAAUAAUUUUAGAACUUUUGUUGAAAAGAAAUCGAAUUACGAAAACCGUUUGAAGUUGGAAAACAAUCCUAAUUGGUUUUGGAUUCAAAUACUUAAACUCAAUCCUAGUUCUAGCCCAAAUUGAUAAAGCCCAAAUAACAAAAACUCAAAUUCUUUACUCCCUCCUCUUUCUAUUUCACGUGAAACCAAAAACACCAAAACCCUCAAACCUUGCUUCCUCCUUCACGUGAACCUGCAGCCCUCACCUCCUUCAGCGUCGCACAGCCGCCGCACCAGCCACUGCCUGGCCGCCGUCGUUGCUAGGCCACCACCUCCUCCGUCGAUCGCCACCACCACACGCCGCUAGCCUUGCCGCCGCCUGUCACUGCUGCCACGCUUCCCAACCUCCGGCGGUCUCCCUCCUUUCUCCUCCACGCACGCAACAAGCUUCCCCUUUCUUCUUUUCUUGCUUCACCAUCAGCACAACCACCACCGUCGCUGCCACCUGACAGUCGUGCCGCACCGCACUCCUGCGCCUGUGCUGCACCGCCGUGGCCGCCGUCGCUCCCUGCCCAGCCGGCGCCCUUGCUCUUCACUCUCUUCUUGAUUUGGCGGAGAAUUCUCUUUAGGCGACUUUUGAAAGUGUUAAAGUGGCCUAUCAGUUUGUUUACACAAGUCUCUAAGGAUCAAUAAGCGUUGCCCAUCUACAGGUUUGAAGAUGAUGCAUCAUUGGGAUCGGGAUUAGAGAGCUUAUAGUUCUAUUUGUUUAAUUAAGUGAUUUAAUUUGUUAACUUGGAUUUGAAAUUUGUCGUACUAUUUAUAUUUCCUUAUUUUCGUUUAUUGGUUUUGGGAUUAAACCUGUAAUCAAUUACCUAUAAACCUCAAAUUAGUUUUAUGUUUUCCGCUGCAAAA
Molecule: long non-coding RNA, 1023 nt
Organism: Spinacia oleracea (spinach)
Lineage: Eukaryota; Viridiplantae; Streptophyta; Magnoliopsida; Caryophyllales; Amaranthaceae
Exons: 4
Source: RefSeq, a predicted model, not a curated record